AUGGGUAAAUUCUGUGCCAUGGAAGUUUGGUGUAUGGAUAAUUUUACCAUCCAGGUAAUCAGCAUGAUAUUCAACAGGGUACAUGUGCAGGAUGUGCAGAAUCUCUUUACAAUCUUCAUGGAAUUUUUAUUUAUCCAUUUAUUCUUGAAAGAAGAGAGAGAAUUCAGGCUGGAAGUCUGCUCACAAACACAGCUUUUUGGUUUAAGUCCUUACAUUAUUUUUUCAGUGCAUCUCAGAUUUCUGCUGUGAGAUAUUCAGAUAGAGGGCUGAUAAAUGCAAAUUUACACUAGCACUGUAGAAACCCAACUAUCUGAGAGAAGCAAAGGGCAGGCUUAAAUACAGAACUUUCCCAGCACAGGAAAGAAUUCUUUGUGCAGUUUCUUCUGUAUUUGGCAAAGCUGGUGCACCAGAAUACAAUGGCCAGGUCCAUACCCAGCCUCAGGGCCUGUGAGGCUGCUCUUGUGCCUCCUGGUUUGACUCCCUCCUUGUCAUUAAGGAGCCAUUCUUAGGGUGGGCAAAUAUAAUACAGAAUGCCUGGUUAAACUUUAAUUGCAGACAAAUGAUGAAUACAUUUUUAGUUUAAGCACGUGCCAAAUAUUGGGCAGGAAAAUGCAAUGACAGCUUAAGAAAAAGCUUUCAUUGUUUAUCUGAAAUUCAAAUGUAACUGGGCAUCCUGCAUUUUGUUUGCUACAUCUGUGAAAACCUAGACAUGCCACACCCAGUUGAUUUCCUUGUGUAUUGUCAAGAAGCUAAGAGAACUGGUGACACCAUUGACUCAUCUCAAGUCAGGCUGCCAGAGUGUAAAUCUUAGUUCCUUUACUCAUUAUCUGACCUUGGGCAAGUUACUUAAACUGUCUGUACCUUAAUUUACUUACCUAUGAAUUUCAUUUAAUAACUGUUCCUAUGUUCCAGGGUCAAUAGGAGCAUUAAGUGUGACAAUUCAUGUUAAGUAUUUUAAAAAGUAACUGGUACAUAAGAAGUACUCUAUAAAUAUGACUAUUUUUAUUAUUUCUACUGGGACAACAAGGAAAUGCUGCAGUGUCCCCCAACCGACUAAUAACAAAUGCUCUUUAACUGCAGCAGUAGAGGUAAUACCAAAUUUAAACUCUCCAUUUGCCCCAUAGAAUCUCCUUACUUCCCAUGUUCAUGCUUCCAAUUAAAAAAGGUGUCAGUGGUCUGGCAGACCGUCCUCUGAUUACUUCCUGAGAGUCUGAACCACUUACUCCAGAGGGACAUUCUGAACCAGGCUUCGGUGCCUUGUCAUUUCAUCUGCACUAAAUCUAGCAGAAAUACUUUGCUAUUUCUGACAAUGGAAGUAAUAACCGUCCUCUGGUCCUUUAACUGAUGCAUAUGAGUGUCUAUUUUUAUAUUCCUUUGGUCAUUUCAGGAAAUAUGUAACAGGAUGGAAAUUAGAUCCCUAGAUUUGAAUUAGCAGAUUUCUCAGUUUUCUGGAGCAUAAGCAAAACCUUUAUUUUGUUUUAAUCACCUGAUUGUAUUGAUAGUUAAUAAGUAGUACAAUACUUAAAAUUCAGAAAGACAACAGUGGAGAAAAGAGCUUUCACCAUGAGUGCCAUUUACUGUCCCACUUCUGUGUUGUUUAUAAAUUUCAGCUUAAACCACCUCACUAGCUCUUUCCACCUUAAUGUAUGAAAUUCUCUUUCUGUAGUUAAUGUAAUACAGACCUAAUCCUUAUGCAAUAAUUCUAGCCUAGGCCUCUUUCCAGUCCUCUGGAGUUAUUUAUAUGCAAUUUUCAAACAGAGGUGAUCUUUCCUAUAUGCACUAAUAAUAUUUACAUUUUUAAAUGGAACACAGACUGAAAGUUGAGGUAAAAGGUUAGGAGGUCAAAGAAACAUGGAGAUUAGAUCUUUAACCAAGGCAGACUGUUACAUAUUGAAAAUAUCAAUAUCAUAUUUUGCAACGUUUAUGUUCUCAUUGGAAACAUAGAUGCCUAAUAAAGGGAAGAUUAUUUUUUCAAAAGAACAACUGUGUUUGUCAACAACUGUUAAGUAGAUCAUAUUAAGUUUAGUGGCUUUUAGGAUAAAAAUAUAUCUGAAAAUGGCAAAUAAUAAAGUCUAAUACAGUGGAUGAAAGGGAAUGGAAAUAAUGACUGGUUAUAUUUCAAACAAUCAGUGACAGAAAAGCAAAUGGAAAAUUAAUGAAGCCAGUUUUUCAAGAGGUGAAGUCACUAUUUGCAGGACAGCUAAAUGUGAAAAGUCUGUUUUAAUGGUGCUGUAUACAAUCUCAAAGAAUUAAAAUUUUAACAAACAGACAACGUGGGAUGAAUACAGAUUCAAAGCAAGACCUGAAAGCAAAAAGUAGGCUAACUGAAGAAUGUCCCCACGUUCCUGUUUCUCUGGACUCAUUCCUCCUGAGAAUGACAGAGUUUUAUGAAAGGGCAGUGUGUAGACCUCCUGUUAGCUAGCACAGGUCUUGUUCUCACUCUAUAGUAGACUAGGCUAUAAAAGACUUGCUGUAAUCGCUGAUGCUUCUGCUCUCUACUGUAUGAAGAGAUAUCUUUUGCAGAGAUAAUGAAUAGCUCCUUCCGUGUCUCACAGAAGUUGCCUACAGUAUAGCUCCAGUGGUGGAGGCUUGUACUACCAAUGCUAAGCAUUCUGAUGUAUAAUUCUCCUUGUACAUGUUGGCUCUAGUUGUUGAGUCUCAUGCCUGGUUGUCUGAAACUAAAAUUGAUUUAUAAUUUACCCUUAGAAAAUAUAACAGUUACAACAUUCAACCUCUAAUAUAUGUGUUAGAUCAGAAGUAAGCAAACUCUUUCUUUAGGUGGCCAGAGAGUAAAUAUUUUAGGCUUUGUGGACUAUAUGAUCUUUACGGCAGCUGUUCAAUUCUGUCAUUAUAGGCAAACGUAGCCAUAGAAAAUAUGCAAAUAAAUGGGCAUGGCUGUGUUCCAAUAAGCCUACAUUUACAAAAAUGAAUACCAGGCCUACGGGCCUUAGUUUUGCAAUCUUUGUGCUAGAUAAACCAUUUUCAUGUUAUAAAGUAAUAGAUUGCUCUGUUAUUUUUUAAAUUAAAAUGUUAAACAAGGGUACAUUAUUUUGUUUCUUACUUCUCUGAAGUAUAUAAUAUAUAAUUAAUAUAACUGUUAUAUAUAUGUGUGUUGUUUAUAUAUAUAAACGAUAUAUUAUAUUUAAACUUUUAUAAAUAAG
RNAcentral lists this long non-coding RNA (3161 nucleotides) under Callithrix jacchus (white-tufted-ear marmoset). RNAcentral describes it as "lncRNA (ENSCJAG00000084909.1)". Lineage: Eukaryota; Metazoa; Chordata; Mammalia; Primates; Cebidae. The record is from RNAcentral.